This 20769-nucleotide long non-coding RNA is filed under the name Pelobates cultripes (western spadefoot toad). The stretch from base 14468 to 14544 matches the Rfam family "mir-1788 microRNA precursor family". Lineage: Eukaryota; Metazoa; Chordata; Amphibia; Anura; Pelobatidae. The record is from RNAcentral.
CACUGCAUCCCGGAUCUGCCACCAAGUUCUCCAGUCUGGGUGCCUAGGGCAGGGCUGCGGGACAACUCCUGGGGACUUUACUUCCCUCAUCUCCGGCAGACCCCAAGUAUGGACUCCUGGGGACUCUCCUUCCCUGAUCUCAAUCACUCCCCAAGUAAGGACUAGUGGGGACUCCCCAUCCAUGAUCUCAAUCACUCCCCAAGUAAGCACUCCUGGGGACUCUCCUUCCCUGAUCACAAUCACUCCCCAAGUAAGGACUUCUGUGGACUCCCAUCCUUGAUCUCAAUCACUCCCCAAGUAAGGACUUCUGGGGACUCCCAUCUCUGAUCUCAAUCACUCCCCAAGUAAGGACUUCUGGGGAUUCCCCAUCCUUGAUCUCAAUCACUCCCCAAGUAAGAACUCCUGGGGACUUUUCUUCCCUGAUCUCAAUCACUCCCCAAGUAAGGUCUCCUGUGGACUCCCCAUCUUAACUAGACCCCAAGUAAGGGCUCCUGGGGAAGCUCCUUCCCUGAUCGCAAUUAUACCCCAAGAAAGGUCUCCUGCAAACUAUCCUUCCCUGAUCACAAUCAUAACGCAAGAAAGGACUCCGGCAGGCUAUCCUUCUCUGAUCUAACAGACCCCUAGAACAUGACUUGCACAAGGUGAGUAAAACCCUAUUGGUGUCUAUAAGACGGUUCCUCCAUCAUUAACGUGCCCCCGUCCACAAGGCCAUUGUUUUAUUUAGCAAAGUACAAGAUGGGCCUUUGGUGCUUUCAAAAGUAGCAGAAUUGCAAUAACAGUUAACAGAUGAUAACAUUUGCAUUUGUGUAAAAUAAAAAUAACAAGGAAAAUAUAGGGUUAGGGCAGCGGUAGAGUAAACACAAAUAAAGCGAAGGUUCAAAAUACGUUCUGUCUUUUAAUAUUUUCAAAUUAAUGACAUAUUAAAUAAAUACACACUGAAUUGCUGAGAACUGAAAACUAAACAUGUUAAUUUAGGUAACAAUAACAGAUUUAAAAAAUAAAAAUAAUAAAUAACACAAUGGCUCUGAAUAUGCUGCUAAUGUUUUUAAAUCUAGGGUCCCUAAUGUGACCCCUAGGUGUCUUACAUGGAAUGUCUAAUGGUGGGUUUGGAGAGCUAGUUUUGUAUAGGAAUGCAGAUACUGGGGUGCAAUGUGAGGGAGAGAACAUGUUCAAAAUUACUGAUUUGAAAUUAUCUAAACGUAAUUAGUCUGAUCCUGGGGUUAAUCCAAAUCUCCUAGGAUUCGAGAAACAUCUUUCUUGUCUUUAAUCAAAAUAGUCGUUCAUUUUCUAUUCACUACAAUUCAGGGAAUAAACCCCAAUGUCUAUAAUAGGAGAUCUUACUGCGCUUGAUCAUUUCAUAAAGAAGUUUAAUAGGUAGCCACAUUCUUAUUCUGGCUGCUGUUUGCAUGGUUGCCGAUUCUUGUUUUGUGACUGUUUGACAGUCUGUCACUAUCUAUAUAUUUCAACCUCCUUCAAUAGACUUCACAUUCAACUCAGCAACUCAUAGACAUAAUACUGAACUCGACAACUUAUAGUCAUAAUACUGAACUCGGCAACUCAUAGACAUAAUACUGAACUCAGCAACUCAUAGACAUAAUACUGAACUCAGCAACUCAUAGACAUAAUACUGAACUCGGCAACACAUAGACAUAAUACUGAACUCGGCAACUGAGAGACAAAAUACUGAACUCAGCAACACAUAGACAUAAUACUGAACUCGGCAACUCAUAGACAUAAUACUGAACUCGGCAACACAUAGUCAUAAUAAUGAACUCGGCAACUCAUAUACAUAAUACUGAACUCAGCAACACAUAGUCAUAAUACUGAACUCGGCAACUGAUAGACAUAAUACUGAACUCAGCAACUCAUAGACAUAAUACUGAACUCGGCAACUGAUAGACGUAAUACUGAACUCGGCAACACAUAGUCAUAAUACUGAACUCGGCAACUCAUAGACAUAAUACUGAACUCGGCAACUGAUAGACAUAAUACUGAACUCGGCAACACAUAGACAUAAUACUGAACUCGGCAACUGAUAGACAAAAUACUGAACUCAGCAACACAUAGACAUAAUACUGAACUCGGCAACUCAUAGACAUAAUACUGAACUCGGCAACACAUAGUCAUAAUACUGAACUCGGCAACUCAUAGACAUAAUACUGAACUCAGCAACACAUAGUCAUAAUACUGAACUCGGCAACUGAUAGACAUAAUACUGAACUCAGCAACUCAUAGACAUAAUAUUGAACACGGCAACUGAUAGACAUAAUACUGAACUCGGCAACACAUAGUCAUAAUACUGAACUCGGCAACUCAUAGACAUAAUACUGAACUCGGCAACUGAUAGACAUAAUACUGAACUCGGCAACCUAUAGAUAAUACUCGAACUCGGCAAUCAUAGACAUACUGAACUCAGCAACCAUAGACAUAAUACUAAACUCAGCAACCCAGAUAAUAAUUGAAUCCCCAAGUAACUGGAUAGUCAUAUCGAACUCGCAAUCAUAGACAUACUCGAACCUCGGCAACUGAUAGACAUACUGAACUCGCAACAAUAUAGUCAUAAUAAUUGAACUCGGCAACUCAUAGACAUAAUACUGAACUCGGCAACUGAUAGACAUAAUACUGAACUCGGCAACACAUAGUCAUAAUACUGAACUCGGCAACUGAUAGACAUAAUACUGAACUCAGCAACUCAUAGACAUAAUACUGAACUCGGCAACUCAUAGACAUAAUACCAAACUCAGCAACUCAUAGACAUAAUACUGAACUCGGCUACUCAUAGACAUAAUACUAAACUCAGCUACUCAGACAUAAUACUAAACUCAGCAACUCAUAGUCAUAAUACUGAACUCAGCAACUCAUAGACAUAAUACUAAAUUCAGCAACUCGUAGACAUAAUACCAAACUCAGCAACUCAUAGACAUAAUACUGAACUCAGCAACUCAUAGACAUAAUACUGAACUCAGUAACUCAUAGACAUAAUACUGAACUCGGCAAGUCAUAGACAUAAUACUGAACUCGGCAACUCAGUCAUAAUACUGAACUCGACAACUUAUAGUCAUAAUACUGAACUCAGCAACUCAUAGACAUAAUACUGAACUUGUCAACUCAUAGUCAUAAUACUGAACUCAGCAACUCAUAGACAUAAUACUGAACUCGGCAACUGAUAGACAUAAUACUGAACUCGGCAACUCAUAGACAUAAUACUAAACUCAGCAACUCAUAGACAUAAUACUGAACUCGGCAAUUCAUAGACAUAAUACUGAACUCAGCAACUCAGUCAUAAUACUAAAUUCAGCAACUCAUAGUUAUUACACUGAACUCAGCAACUCAUAGACAUAAUACUGAACUCGGCAACUCAUAGUCAUAAUAUUGAACUCAGCAACUCAUAGACAUAAUACUGAACUCGACAACUCAUAGACAUAAUACUGAACUCGGCAACUCGUAGACAUAAUACUGAACUCGGCAACUCAUAGACAUAAUACUGAACUCAGCAACUCAUAGACAUAAUACUAAACUCAGCAACUCAUAGACAUAAUACUGAACUCGACAACUCAUAGACAUAAUACUGAACUCAGCAACUCGUAGACAUAAUACUGAACUCGGCAACUCAUAGACAUAAAACUAAACUCAGCAACUCAUAGACAUAAUACUGAACUCAGCAACUCAUAGACAUAAUACUGAACUCGACAACUCAUAGACAUAAUACUGAACUCAGCAACUCAUAGACAUAAUACUGAACUCAGCAACUCAUAGACAUAAUACUGAACUCGGCAAGUCAUAGACAUAAUACUGAACCCGGCAACUCAGUCAUAAUACUGAACUCGACAACUUAUAGUCAUAAUACUGAACUCAGCAACUCAUAGACAUAAUACUGAACUCGGCUACUCAUAGACAUAAUACUAAACUCAGCUACUCAGACAUAAUACUGAACUCAGCAACUCAUAGACAUAAUACUAAACUCAGCAACUCAUAGACAUAAUACUGAACUCGACAACUCAUAGACAUAAUACUUAACUCAGCAACUCGUAGACAUAAUACCGAACUCGGCAACUCAUAGACAUAAUACCAAACUCAGCAACUCAUAGACAUAAUACUGAACUCAGCAACUCAUAGACAUAAUACUGAACUCAGCAACUCGUAGACAUAAUACUGAACUCGGCAACUCAUAGACAUAAUACCAAACUCAGCAACUCAUAGACAUAAUACUGAACUCGGCUACUCAUAGACAUAAUACUAAACUCAGCUACUCAGACAUAAUACUAAACUCAGCAACUCAUAGUCAUAAUACUGAACUCAGCAACUCAUAGACAUAAUACUAAAUUCAGCAACUCAUAGACAUAAUACUGAACUCGACAACUCAUAGACAUAAUACUUAACUCAGCAACUCGUAGACAUAAUACCAAACUCAGCAACUCAUAGACAUAAUACUGAACUCAGCAACUCAUAGACAUAAUACUGAACUCAGCAACUCGUAGACAUAAUACUGAACUCAGCAACUCAUAGACAUAAUACUAAACUCAGCAACUCAUAGACAUUAUACUGAACUCAGCAACUCAUAGACAUAAUACUGAACUCAGUAACUCAUAGACAUAAUACUGAACUCGGCAAGUCAUAGACAUAAUACUGAACUCGGCAACUCAGUCAUAAUACUGAACUCGACAACUUAUAGUCAUAAUACUGAACUCAGCAACUCAUAGACAUAAUACUGAACUUGGCAACUCAUAGUCAUAAUACUGAACUCAGCAACUCAUAGACAUAAUACUGAACUCGGCAACUGAUAGACAUAAUACUGAACUCGGCAACUCAUAGACAUAAUACUAAACUCAGCAACUCAUAGACAUAAUACUGAACUCGGCAACUCAUAGACAUAAUACUGAACUCAGCAACUCAAGACAUAUUACAGACUUCGACAACUCAUAGACAUAAUACUAAACUCAGCAACUCAUAGACAUAAUACUUAACUCAGCAACUCGUAGACAUAAUACCGAACUCGGCAACUCAUAGACAUAAUACCAAACUCAGCAACUCAUAGACAUAAUACUGAACUCAGCAACUCAUAGACAUAAUACUGAACUCAGCAACUCGUAGACAUAAUACUGAACUCGGCAACUCAUAGACAUAAUACCAAACUCAGCAACUCAUAGACAUAAUACUGAACUCGGCUACUCAUAGACAUAAUACUAAACUCAGCUACUCAGACAUAAUACUAAACUCAGCAACUCAUAGUCAUAAUACUGAACUCAGCAACUCAUAGACAUAAUACUAAANNNNNNNNNNNNNNNNNNNNNNNNNNNNNNNNNNNNNNNNNNNNNNNNNNNNNNNNNNNNNNNNNNNNNNNNNNNNNNNNNNNNNNNNNNNNNNNNNNNNUGGGUGUCAGUAUUUCUGUCAGUGUAUGUGUGUCAGUAUGUUGAUCAGUGUGUCUGUGUGUGUGUGUCAGUAUGUCGGUAUAUGUGUCUGUGUGUCAGUAUGUCUGUAUAUGUGCCUGUGUCAGUAUGUCUGUCAGUACGUCUACCAGUGUAUGUGUCUGUGUGUGUGUCAAUAUAUGUACCUGCAGGGCCGGACUUGGAGAAAAAUUCGGCCCGGGCAUUUUUUUAACACAGCGGCCCACUAAAAAGGGGGCGGGGCAGAGGAGGUGUGUUUUGUCAUCACCAAUGACAAACACGCCUCCUCUCAAAGUGAGCAUGUUGGUUCAAUGCUCUUCCAGGGCAGACCAUGCGCGGAGCUCUGCUGAAGAGCUCUAGCAUGAGAAAAAAGUCCUGUAUUUGUUCUGCACAGUGCAAGCAAAUUUAAUAACAUGCUUGCACUGUGUUUCCUUGCAACUUGUCUCUGGUGUCUCUAUAAAUGGAUACCAGGAGACAAAAGGCCAGGAAAAGAGUAUUGUGCAUGUGUUUGGAGCCUGCUUGUGGUAUUGCAUGUGUGUAGAGUGAGCUGGUCGUGGUGUGGUAUUGUGUAAUAAGGUCGGUUUUAGUCGUGUUGUGUUUGUGGUGUAAUGUGAUGCAUAUGUGGCUCAGGGACCCCCUCCCGUCCGGCUCUGGAAAGGGGUUAAAACUUACCUUUUUCCAGCGCCGGGCGGGGAGCUCUCCUCCUCCGAUCCGCCCCGUCGGCUGAAUGCGCACGCGCGGCAAGAGCUGCGCGCGCAUUCAGCCGGUCGCAUAGGAAAGCAUUCAUAAUGCUUUCCUAUGGACGCUUGCAUGCUCUCAGUGUGAUUUUCACAGUGAAAAGCACGCAAGCGCCUCUAGCGGCUGUCAAUGAGACAGCUGCUAGAGGCUUUGGGGGAAGGCUUAACCCAUUGAUAAACAUAGCAGUUUCUCUGAAACUGCUAUGUUUAUAAAACAAUGGGUUAACCCUAGAAGGAUCUGGCACCAAGACCACUUCAUUAAGCUCAUUAGAGUGGCUAGAGUGCCGGGGGUGAGAGUGCCGUGUGAGAGUGCUGUGUGUGUGUGAGAGUGCUGUGAGAGAGUGCUGUGUGUGUUAAAGUGAUGGAUGUAAGAGUGCUGUGUGUGUGUGAGAGUGCUCUGUGAGAGUGCUGUGAGUGUGAUGGGUGUGAGAGUGCUGUAUAAAUGUUAUUGUGUGUGUGUAGGGGGGGUAAAUAAAAUAAAAUUAAAAUAAAAUAAAAAAACAGGCAUUAUGUCCCCCCCUCCCUUCUUACCUUUAGCCUGGGAGAGGUGGGACCGGCACGCUGGGAGGCGGUGUUCCCUGGUGGUCCUCGUGGGUGAGUGAACUCUAGCCCGCAUAGCCUGUCAGGCUAGAGUUCACUCUCGCGAGAUCCGGUUGUUGAAAUGGCAACGCGAGAGGAACCCGGCGGAGAUGCAUAUUAGAGCUCCGCCGGGUCCUCUCUCCAGCCUGGCUGGCUCCCUCCCUCCCCGCCGGCGGCCGCAUUUGGGCCGGUGAGGGAGAGCUUUGAUCUCCCCACCGGCCCGUCGUGGCAACAGCGGGGCCGGCGCUAGGAGAGUGCCGGCCCUGCAUAGACCGGCAGGGGAGAUCCUGGGACCUCCCCUGCCGGCCUCGGCCCAUGGCCACCGCGGCCCACCGGGCAUUUGCCCGGUGUGCCCGAUGGCCAGUCCGGGCCUGUGUACCUGUGUCAGUGUGUCUGUCAGUGUAUGUGCCUGUUUAUCUGUAUGUAGUCAGUGUAUGUAUCUGUGUAUCUGCUUGUGCGUCAGAGUGUGUACCUGUGCAUCUGAGCCGCAACUUUAAAUACAAAUACACCCCUCCAUUCAAACUUCAACACUACAUAUAAAACACACUCCUGCAUUGAAACGUCAACACUACAUACAAGCACACUCCUACAUUCAAAAACAAACACUACACAUAAAUGCACACUUGCAUUCAAACUCCAGCACCACAUACAAACACAUUCACACAAACAUACUCCAUACAAACACAUGCUUACAUUCAAACAUACUAACAUGGCUCAGUGCUAAAUACAACCCUGCAAGCAUGAGAAAUUGGUAGAGUCCCACCUGUCAAAGCAUUGUUGGAGUUGCACGACAGAUGGGGUUCUACCUUUAGUCCAACCUUGCAAUUGGGGGUCCCAAUAAAAUUCAUUCUACUUUAGUACCGCCACUGCGUUGGGAUGGAUGCCGUGACUGCAUACCAGGGAGUGAGGGGCGAGAGCGGCAGGGCACAGGGGGCCCAAGCAAACACUUGCCCAGGGUCCAUUCGUUAUUAAAGACGGCCCUGAUAAUACUGAACUCAGCAACUCAUAGACAUAAUACUAAACUCAGCAACUCAUAGACAUAAUACUUAACUCAGCAACUCGUAGACAUAAUACCGAACUCGGCAACUCAUAGACAUAAUACCAAACUCAGCAACUCAUAGACAUAAUACUGAACUCAGCAACUCAUAGACAUAAUACUGAACUCAGCAACUCGUAGACAUAAUACUGAACUCGGCAACUCAUAGACAUAAUACCAAACUCAGCAACUCAUAGACAUAAUACUGAACUCGGCUACUCAUAGACAUAAUACUAAACUCAGCUACUCAGACAUAAUACUAAACUCAGCAACUCAUAGUCAUAAUACUGAACUCAGCAACUCAUAGACAUAAUACUAAAUUCAGCAACUCAUAGACAUAAUACUGAACUCGACAACUCAUAGACAUAAUACUUAACUCAGCAACUCGUAGACAUAAUACCAAACUCAGCAACUCAUAGACAUAAUACUGAACUCAGCAACUCAUAGACAUAAUACUGAACUCAGUAACUCAUAGACAUAAUACUGAACUCGGCAAGUCAUAGACAUAAUACUGAACUCGGCAACUCAGUCAUAAUACUGAACUCGACAACUUAUAGUCAUAAUACUGAACUCAGCAACUCAUAGACAUAAUACUGAACUUGGCAACUCAUAGUCAUAAUACUGAACUCAGCAACUCAUAGACAUAAUACUGAACUCGGCAACUGAUAGACAUAAUACUGAACUCGGCAACUCAUAGACAUAAUACUAAACUCAGCAACUCAUAGACAUAAUACUGAACUCGGCAAUUCAUAGACAUAAUACUGAACUCAGCAACUCAGUCAUAAUACUAAAUUCAGCAACUCAUAGUUAUUACACUGAACUCAGCAACUCAUAGACAUAAUACUGAACUCGGCAACUCAUAGUCAUAAUAUUGAACUCAGCAACUCAUAGACAUAAUACUGAACUCGACAACUCAUAGACAUAAUACUGAACUCGGCAACUCGUAGACAUAAUACUGAACUCGGCAACUCAUAGACAUAAUACUGAACUCAGCAACUCAUAGACAUAAUACUAAACUCAGCAACUCAUAGACAUAAUACUGAACUCGACAACUCAUAGACAUAAUACUGAACUCAGCAACUCGUAGACAUAAUACUGAACUCGGCAACUCAUAGACAUAAAACUAAACUCAGCAACUCAUAGACAUAAUACUGAACUCAGCAACUCAUAGACAUAAUACUGAACUCGACAACUCAUAGACAUAAUACUAAACUCACAACUCAUAGACAUAAUACUGAACUCGGCAAGUCAUAGACAUAAUACUGAACUCGGCAACUCAGUCAUAAUACUGAACUCGACAACUCAUAGACAUAAUACUGAACUCAGCAACUCAUAGACAUAAUACUGAACUCGGCAAGUCAUAGACAUAAUACUGAACUCGGCAACUCAGUCAUAAUACUGAACUCGACAACUUAUAGUCAUAAUACUGAACUCAGCAACUCAUAGACAUAAUACUGAACUCGGCUACUCAUAGACAUAAUACUAAACUCAGCUACUCAGACAUAAUACUGAACUCAGCAACUCAUAGACAUAAUACUAAACUCAGCAACUCAUAGACAUAAUACUGAACUCGACAACUCAUAGACAACUCAAUACUUAACUCAGCAACUCGUAGACAUAAUACCGAACUCGGCAACUCAUAGACAUAAUACCAAACUCAGCAACUCAUAGACAUAAUACUGAACUCAGCAACUCAUAGACAUAAUACUGAACUCAGCAACUCGUAGACAUAAUACUGAACUCGGCAACUCAUAGACAUAAUACCAAACUCAGCAACUCAUAGACAUAAUACUGAACUCGGCUACUCAUAGACAUAAUACUAAACUCAGCUACUCAGACAUAAUACUAAACUCAGCAACUCAUAGUCAUAAUACUGAACUCAGCAACUCAUAGACAUAAUACUAAAUUCAGCAACUCAUAGACAUAAUACUGAACUCGACAACUCAUAGACAUAAUACUUAACUCAGCAACUCAUAGACAUAAUACCAAACUCAGCAACUCAUAGACAUAAUUCUGAACUCAGCAACUCAUAGACAUAAUACUGAACUCAGCAACUCGUAGACAUAAUACUGAACUCAGCAACUCAUAGACAUAAUACUGAACUCGGCAACUCAUAGACAUAAUACUAAACUCAGUAACACAUAGAAAUAAUACUGAACUUGGCAGCUCUCCAUAGAUUAAACAUCAAACUUGGCAUCUCUUUGUAUUUAACACUGAACACAUAACAUUCAGUUCUGCAACUCAUGACAGGUGGCAGCUUUCCAUUUAAGAUAAUAUUGAACUUGCCCGCUCCCUGUAGACUUAACUCGGUAUCUUUUUAUAGACUUAGCAUUGAACUCACCAGUUUCCAAUGAAACUAUGAAACUCCGCAGCUCCCUAUAGAUAAUAUGAAAUUCUGCAGCUCCCCAUAGAUAAUAUUGAAAUUCGCAGAUCCCCAUAGAUAAUAUGGAACUCUGCAGCCCCCCAUUGAUAAUAUGGUACCCAGCAGCCCCCCAUAGAUAAUAUGGUACUCAGCAGCUCCCCAUAGAUAAUAUGGAACUCAGCAGCUCCCUAUAGAUCAUUUGAUACUCCUCAACUCCCCAUAGAUACUAUGGAACUCUGCAGCUCCUGAUAGAUAAUAUGGAACUCCGCAGCUCCCGAUAGAUAAUAUGGAACUCUGCAGCUCCCCAUAGAUAAAAUGGAACUCUGCAGCUCCCCAUAGAUAAUAUGGUACUCAGCAGCUUUCUAUAGAUAAUAUGGUACUCAGCAGCUCCCUAUAGAUAAUAUGGUACUCAGCAGCUUUCUAUAGAUAAUAUGGUACUCAGCAGCUCCCUAUAGAUAAUAUGGUACUCAGCAGCUUUCUAUAGAUAAUAUGGAACUCAGCAGCUCCCUAUAGAUCAUUUGAUACUCCUCAACUCCCCAUAGAUACCAUGGAAAUCUGCAGCUCCUGAUAGAUAAUAUGGAACUCCGCAGCUCCCGAUAAAUAAUAUGGAACUCUGCAGUCCCCCUAGAUAAAAUGGAACUCUGCAGCUCCCCAUAAAUAAUAUGGUACUCAGCAGCUCCUUUUAGAUAAUAUGGUACUCAGAAGCUCCCCAUAGAUACUAUGGAACUCCGCAGCUCCCGAUAGAUAAUAUGUAAGUCAGCAGCUCCCCAUAUAUAAUAUGGUACUCAGCAGCUGUCCAUAGAUAAUAUGGUACUCCUCAGAUCCCGAUAGAUAAUAUGGAACUCUGCCGCUCCCCAUAGGAAAUUUGGUACUCCACCGCUCCCCAUAGAUAAUAUGGAACUCUGCUGCUCCCCAUAGAUAAUAUGGUACUCAGCAACUUUCUAUAGAUAAUAUGGCACACAGCAGCUCCCUAUAGAUAAUAUGGAACUCAGCAGCUCCCUAUAGAUAAUAUGUAACUCAACAGCUCCCCAUAGAUAAUAUGGCACACAGCAGCUCCCUAUAGAUAAUAUGGAACUCAGCAGCCCCCAUAGAUAAUAUGGUACACAGCAGCUUUCCAUAGAUAAUAUGGUACUCGUCAGCUUUCUAUGGAUAAUAUGGAACUCGGCAGCUCCCUAUAGAUAAUAUGGUACUCGGCAGCUCCCUAUAGAUAAUAUGGUACUCGGCAGCUCCCUAUAGAUAAUAUGGUACUCAGCAGCUCCCUAUAGAUAAUAUGGUACUCAGCAACUCCCUAUAGAUAAUAUGGUACUCAGCAACUUUCUAUAGAUAAUAUGGCACACAGCAGCUCCCUAUAGAUAAUAUGGAACUCAGCAGCUCCCUAUAGAUAAUAUGGAACUCAACAGCUCCCCAUAGAUAAUAUGGCACACAGCAGCUCCCUAUAGAUAAUAUGGAACUCAGCAGCCCCCAUAGAUAAUAUGGUACACAGCAGCUUUCCAUAGAUAAUAUGGUACUCGUCAGCUUUCUAUGGAUAAUAUGGAACUCGGCAGCUCCUUAUACAUAAUAUGGUACUCGGCAGCUCCCUAUAGAUAAUAUGGUACUCGGCAGUUCCCUAUAGAUAAUAUGGUACUCAGCAGCUUUCCAUAGAUGGCAAGGAACUCAGCAGCAUACAGAUAACUGAUAUUGAAUGCAGAAAAUGUGGUACGCUUUAAAAAUAUAUCAUUUUUAUUUUCUCCUUAAGUACAUCUUUUUUCAUAAAUCCCCCCAGAUUGCUCACUAGCAUAGCGCUGAUCAUAGCUUGUCCUGCAAGCUUCUAUUAGGAAUGGUGGGAACAGAAAGGCAAGGUUUCCAAUGUGUUCCUAAAAUGAAACAUAAUGUUCUAAAAAAUGGAGCAAUCACCAUAGAAACCAUAAACCUUCCAGUGGUUUCCACGGUGAUUGCGCAAUUGUUGGAACAUUUAUAAAUCCCACCAAGAGUACAGAGUUUCCGUCAAUUGUUAACAUCAAACAUCUGAUAAUUUACUGGUUACAUAUCUUCCAUUUAUUGAAUAUCUUGCAUGAUUGAUGAUUGAGAUCCUGAAUAUUUAGCUGUGCUGUGCAGUGGGUGCUGUAUGACUAGGUAUUCAUAGGACUGCAUGAUAGGUGACGGGCACCACCUACUUCUUAUCUAGUCAUGGGCAUGGUGCCACCAGGGCAGUGCCAUUGCUGCAGUGAAGCAAUUUUAAUGGUGUUUUAAACCUGAUCACAAUGCCUCUCAUUUUACAGCCCGGUUGAAAAUGGGGAAGUUCUGUUUGAAGAAGACAAUGCAAACCGCACCCUGACCAGGUGAGUAAUGCAGGGGAGUGGGGGAUGAGGGGGGUGAGAGGCGUGAGAAUGGUUUAGGAAGAACUAUAUCCUGCUGCCUCCAGGAUCUGCGGAAACCAUAGGCGUUCCUGGGGGGGGGGUUUGGGGGCUGAAGCCCCGGAUCUCUAGAGUUCAUGGAGGGACAUGAGGUUAUCACUGGUUUUUAUUUUGCAUGUGACAACUGCUACUCAGAGCACCCAUUAUAAAAAUAAGACUAACAGUAUAGUGCUCCCUUAUUGGAUGAGGGAUGGUGCCCCCCAGAUGACAUAUGGUAGGGGCUACUAGAUAACAGAAGCAUUGCGUUGCUAGCGUGGUGGGAUCGCAUUGAAUACCUGGUUGUACUAUGUGCUUGUUACUGGCUGUGAAUUCAUUAAGAUCCCGGACAGUAUCAGCUGCACGCUAUUCACUGGAAGAGAGAAGGGGACAUAACGUAGAAAGGCCUUGAUAUGCCAUGACAUCCCACCUCUCUCUUACAGGGUUCAUUAACUAAAGUGAGAAUUCAUGUGGAUAUUCAUUUCAGUCAGGCAGUCACCUUGGAAGCAUUGCUGGGUUAGAACAUUAAGUUCAGCUAUUUUGAUCGUUAAUUUGAAAUUCACUUUGGUAUAGAACCCUGAUAAAGUAUGGGAGUCACUGAGUUUUCCUUAGAGCUCAAGCCUCAGGUGUACGUGGAAGCAGCAAUGCCCCUGGCUGAACCAUUGUAACAGUUAAAUGUUUGCUGAUUGGUCAGAUAGUUCUAAUUAGAGAUGUCGCGAACCGUUCGCGAACUUUUCGCGAACGGUGACGCAUCACGGCCAAUCUCCAGCAGACCCUCCCUCCCAGACCCUCCCACUUCCUGGACAGCAUCCAUGUUAAAGCUGCCUUCAACAUGGAUGCUGUCCAGGAGGUGGGAGGGUCUGGGAGGGAGGGUCUGCUGGAGAUUGGCCGGGAUGCGUCAGCUGAAAAGUCAGCUGAAAAGUUCGCGAACGGUUCGUGACAUCUCUAGUUCUAAUACCGUUUCAUAGAAUCCUGUCUGAAUUAACAAGGAGGACUUAAAGGACCACUAACGAUACCCAGACCAUCUUGAUGAAGUAUUCUUGGUGCAGUGGAUCUUUAGCUUUAACCCAGCAAUUUAAAAAAUCGAAGUAUAGUAGAUAGAGCAAUGUUAUGGGUACAGGGGUAACACCCCUCUAGUAACGUCUUCCUGAGUCAAAAUUCAGAAUUCAUUCAAAUGCUGCUCAUAGAGGGCAUCUGGUUGGUGCAGUGUGGUAUUUUGCUGCGCAUGCACACUAGCCCUUCAAUGCUUCCCUAUGGAAAAGCAUUGGAUCGGCUGAGAUUAUUAACCUUGAUUUUCUCAGCCAGGGAAAUAGGGCAGCCGUGACAACAGCUUGGAGAGGCAGUAAAGGUAAGUAAAACCCCCACAGGUUUGUAUUCCUAACGCUAUAGUGUUCCUUUAAUAAAGCCCUUAGAUGUGGCAUGUACACAAAAACAUUCAUAUUUUAUACAUUUUGUAUAGAAUACAGAAAAAUUGAUUGUAGCAGAAAAAAAUCAGGGCUGCCUUAUGUUCAUCUCAAACAUUUACCGCCUAUUCUGGAAUACAUUUCCAGGUAUCUAGUAUCUCUUCUGUAUCACGGUUUGCAAUUACCACUUCCACUGGUAUACAGUUUGGUAUCUCCUACUCUUCUAUAUUACGGUGCCACUUCUGUAAAGUAACACAUAUUAACUUCAACGAAUGGCCUCUUGUAUAAUAGCUUCUUAUUGUAUAACAAAACACUGCCUUCUUCGUUUUAUUUAAACUACAUCGAACAGAGAGAGAAGCAUUUCCAAAAAUCACGUUGAUGUUUGGGGGCAAAAAGCCAAUUUGUAUUGAGACCACUUGCUUUGUAGCCUGUUCACGAGUCAGAUAGCAUGUCUAGAAGGGGCAGUUCUCAAGUAUGACUAAAUUCUGUGUAUAAAAAUAUUGUUUCUUAAAUGUAACCUUUAUAUACUUUCUAGAAUUACUUCUUCAUGUCCCAUGACGUCACCAUCUGAGGAACAUCCAUCAGUCCAUCCCAGUCCUGAGUUCGUGGCUUGUUUUAAGUUGCCUGUGAGUGUUCAGCAGGACACAGGCAGCUAAAGCAAGUCUGGAAAGCAGGAGACCACACAGCCAUGGACAUCGAAACUGCUAUCACCCCUGACCACGACCAGUGGACGACUAGUCCACCACAACACCACCUGGUCAUCUUCUUAGUACAUAAGACAAUGCUACAGCUCUAUGUACUAAAAGAACACUCAACCAGAGACAAGGAACACAUUAAAAACAGUUACUAACAGCUUAUAUGUAAUGUUUUCUACAAAUUCUACAAUUCUUGCAAACUAAACGCUAUAGUUUACUAAUCAUGGUUGAGCUGAAUAAGAACCUUCUAGAGACGGUCGAUAGCAGAUGUAACUCCACCACCCUCAGUGCGAGAAGAUGGGAGAGUCUGGUUUAAAUAUAAAUUUGUCGGUAACCCUCUUAUGUUGUAGAGCGCCGUGUCACCUAUCUAAAAAACUGUAAUAAAUUUGUAUCCAGAUUGAUUUUAGCAAAUAUCAGAAAUUUCAUUUUGCAUCCACCAAGGAUAUCAGUUUCACAUUUGAGCUCUUACAAGGAUAUUCAGGGCAUUCCGUGUGCUGUGAAUAACUCUCUUUUACCCGGGUUGCUUAGACAAUAGGCAGUAAGCAGAAUUUCUUGGAGUUGGUCAAAUGGUGUCGCCCAGUGGAAGUAGAGGUCAAGGCGGUUGUGGAGCAGAUUCUGAGCAGGUUUAUGAACAGAUAGUGUUUAAUAAUAGAAGCUAAAUUCAAUGUAAACAGAAUGAGCCGGCAACUUGAAAAAAAAGCAAAAAAAUCUUCCCCUACCAUCUAUGCAGAGUGAUUUAUAUUGUGUACAGCAAAAGCAAAUAGGAACGUUUGAAAAGCAGAAAUCUGCACACUUUUAUAUAUUUACCAAGAAUAUUAUUCAUUCAAAAAUAAAAAUAUAUGAAUAUUAGUACAUACUAAGUGUCCGUCUUUAUGCAUGUUUGUCUGUAUAUUUAUCUGUCUGUAGGAGUUUUAGUCCACCCUCUGAUUAACAUGUUUUAACAUUUAUCUUUUUUUCUAUGCAAUUUUAAACUUAAUGUAAAUUUUACAUUUUCUAUCAGUUUCACUCCAGGCAGGAGUUAUAUCCAAUGCAUGCAAUGAGAUAUGCACUGAAUAAGCCUAAAUUUGUAAAACGUGCAGACUAGUGAGAUAGCUCAAUUGGUAAAUGCACUAACUGCAUAAAUUCUACAGAAGCUCGUUGUCAGCACAGCCUGGGAUUACUGGGCAGACACAAGCACUGUGUAAGAUAAUUUCAUUACAGCAGCUGGCAGUAUUUUCUGAAACACUGCACUGUCCCCUAGUGGCCAUAGAGGGGAAAACAUCAUAGCUCUUCGCAAUAUAACCUCUAUAUGAAUCACCCGAGCAGUUAGUAUUUUAUCAUUAACGUGUAUUUAUAUUGUGUCAACCAUUUACACAGUGGUGAUAGUACAUAUAAAGUGGAUGUACAAUAAGCAAUCAUGUGGAUUAUAUGGUCCUUUUUAAUGAUGUGAUAGAAUGUCCAAAAGUAGAUAAAUGUCAGCGCUGUGCAGUAGCCCCAAAUAAGUGUUUGUGGGGAAGCUGGGUAUUGAGAUAAAUGUGUAUGAUUUCCACCUCCACAGCGGUGGUUUAGGAAAUUAGUAUUCCGUGUAAACUUGGUAUCCAACAGCAGUGAUCACAGUAACGUAUCUUCAAAGAUACAAACCAAGCAGAGAUGAGUUAGAAGCCUUUCAUCUUACCUUUCCAGGCAGACACCUUUGGCAGUUAAGUGCUUUGUCAUCCCUCCAUUUGAACUUGCAGCAUUUCGGCUGGAUCCUUGGACAUUUUCUGGAUUUCUACUGCACCAACAGAGUGGUAAUCCUUUCAGCACACUGCUUAUCUGCUACAUAUUCUGGACUCUGUUUGGAUCCUUAGAUGGAAAGUAGGAUUUAAACACCAUCUUUUUUACUGUGUAUGAGUUUUUUAUAAGAUUUGGAGUUUCGUUUUUACAUGAUAUUAAUAAACUGUGUUGCACUUUCUUUGCUUGGUUUAUAUCUUUGAAGAUACGUUACUGUGAUCACUGCUGUUGGAUACAAAGUUUACACGGAAUACUCCUAAUUUCCUAAACCACCGCUGUGGAGGUGGAAAUCAUACACAUUUAUCUCAAUACCCAGCUUCCCCACAAACACUUAUUUGGGGCUAUUGCACAGCGCUGACAUUUAUCUACUUUUGGACAUUCUAUCACAUAGGUUUGCGGAAUAACCUUUUAUGUUUGGCAGCUAAAAAAAAAAUAUUUAUCUUUGGACUUUUAAUAUUUGGUGUCAUACAGACGAUUUAAUUUUAUAUUGCGCUUUUUUGUUCUAUUUUUUAUAUAAUAAAAUGGGCACACCUCUUAUCUAUAUAAUAUUAUCUAUAUCUGAGCUGCUUUUCUACCCCUAAAAAACAUAAUCAGCUCAUUCUCCAUUCUGUCCCUUUUUUUUGGCACCAUGGAACUCCUCCAUUGUCCAUUUAGUUUGUUACGUGAUACAUUCGGAGUUAUUUCGUAGUUACAGAAUUCAGAUGAACUGCUGAUAACCCAAAGUUCAGACGAAUCGCAAUUCAUUUGUAAUCGAAUGCAGAAGUCUAGGAUACAUAGCAGCUCACACUGGAGAGAGGGCAAUUAACAAAACCUACAAGGCAGGGCUAGACUAUGGCCAUUACAACUUUGCAAAGAUGACCCAGAAAGUCAGAUAUUCUGGUUUACACUACAAAAUAUUGAAACUUAUAUUUGCAUAAUAAUUCCACUUUAAGGGGCCAUUAAAGGCAACUAGAUCACUUCAUCCCUAGUGGCUCUUCCUGACAUCUCCUAGCGUCACAUCCGAUGUGAGAACCAAGUUAAACCCAGUUCUUUUAAGUAGUCUCCAUUUCAUCGGAGGAGCGCAGCGCCGGGCUUUGGAGCAUUGCGAAGCGUAGGGUUUGACGAAGCAGAAGAGUCAGAAUGACAUCACGGGAGGAGGAUUGAGCAGGGACUGGAUUUGGUGCUGUAAAAAAAACCCCAUAAGUAAAUCCCUUUUAUCCAAUUUACAUUGAGAUUAAGGGAUGGGGGGAAAUUAAACUAAAUGCAAAGGAGAACACUAUACAGGUUUGUAUUCCCGAUCCUUUAAUUUUACUUCAAGUAAAGAGAUAGAAAGAUAUCGAGCAAGAGGAGACUCUGCAAGAUUAAAUAAAAUAGAUUUUUCUAAACUGAAAGCACAAUUUCAGUUAUUUCUUUUUAUCAUUGUAUAAAAUGUCAGAUGGUGACUCCUCCAUUUCUGUCAUUUUUCCUCCAGUAUUUAACCUCAUGUGUAACCAUCUUGUGAAAUCAACAAUAGAUUUAAAAAACCAUAUUUACCAACGCAGACUGUAGCCCCAUGUAGCCAAAGCGCAGUUUAACGGAAAAGGGCCUUGACAGGGGUUAGGAGGUGGGCAUAGGAGGAAGCAAGCAGGGAUUGGAGUUGUGGGAAAGGGGGUUUGGCUAUUUAAAUAGGUAGCCAUUUUGGAAUGAGUCACUUUUAAUCUCCUACCUGGCUUAGUUUGUCCCACCCACCCGCCCUGUGGUUUUGGUUCAGGGGGGUUUACCACGUUUUGUCACAGCGGUGGGAUAGGGAGCUGAAGGAGAGGUAAUAGGCUCCCCAUGAGGUGGUCAUUGGUGGUCGGUAGGUUUCGAGUCCUGUCGGUGGCUCAGAACUUGGUGGGGUAGGGGUAUCCGGGUAUACCCCUGCCGAGGUUAAUUUAUGAUUGGCACUUUAAGUUUGUUUAUGUUGGAAUAAGGAUGGAAAAUGUUUUAUAUAUAUAUAUAUAUAUAUAUAUAUAUAUAUAUGUGUUAUCUAUAUUGGAGUCAUUGCCUUUUAUAUUUACAGAAGGAUACGGAUGCGAGGGCGGAGUAUGGGGGCAAUGACCCAUGUUUUAUAUGUUAAGUUAUUAUUAUUAUUAUAAUUAUUAUUAUUGUUAUUAUAUUAAGAUUGUUUAAUAAAAGCUGUGCACAAUUUGACCCAUAUACCCUAGCGUCAGUGUCUUAUUGGGAUAGGUAUGUGGUGUGGUUGUCCUAGGUUCUGACUGCCCAUAUGGCGACUAUACACCGGUCAAGGCUAUCUACAUAAAAUAGCUAUUUCUAUAAAGAAUGAUUUGAUUCAACAAGGCCUUAAUUUGCAAUAUUUUAUAUUUAGUGGAAAAACCUGAUUUAGUCUAUUUCAAAGCAUGUUGAUUUAUCAGCAUUUUAAAAUUUGUCCUAUUUCGAAGACGUAACUGGAGGCUAAACCCAUAAAUUUAUACAGCCAUAACAUUAACCUAAUAUUAACAUUCUGCAAUAAUCCCAAUAAUUCUUUCUUCCCACUUUUCUCGUGACUGUUUUUUAAACUCACUGUUAAUGUUCUGUAUUUUGGAACCCUCCCCACCCCUCUAAAUAUCCUAAACUUUAAUUCAAUAAUUAUAUUAAAACAAUUAUUUUAUUAAAAAAAGCAUUUCAGAUAAGUGAGUCUUGAACACAGACUUCUGCAUGUGAUUUAAUUUUUGCUCUAAUUAUUUCAUUACUUUGUCUAAAUGCACUGGGUGUUUAUAGUCCUUUCUAAACACAAAUCAACUUCUGCUUUCAAAAUGCUUUUUGAACGUCCCCUAUUCAUGUGAUUGAAAAUUUUCAUGAAUUUCUAUAUUAAUUUAUAAGUGAUAUAUAUAUAUUAGUCUGCUUUCACAUUCUUUUUCACAUUUAGAGAUUGUAUUUUGUAAGAUCUGACCCUUUGCAAACCAAUGGAUUUCUCAAUAAAAAAAAAGUUAAACUUAAAAAGCUGUGUCUUAUUUGAAGCUGUAUCCGUGUAAAUCAUGGGCGUCCAACUUUCACACAUAAUUACUGGCGCACACACACACAAAUCACAUUCAUACACACACAUUUAGUAAUUAAGAGGUCUGCCCAGCCUCCCUACCUUGCUCUGGGAGGGCUGGAGUGUAUCCUCUCCAUGAUGACCAGUGGUUGCUGCUGUGAUGGGAUCACUGUGCUCUUUUUGCACAGGUCCCUCCAGCGCCCAGUAGUGAUGCCGAUGCCGGGAGGACAUCAUAUCCCAGCUCCUGGCUCACUGCAGAAAGAGCACAGUAAGCAAUGGGCUACCUGCCUCCUUCACAGCCAGGACGGCAACUGGGGAGCAUUACAGGUGUUUCAGGGCCGCAGGUUGGACAUGCCUGGUGUAAAUGUAGAGAUUAUUUUAGGUUUACUAUUUUUCAGAUUACCACCUCAUGGUUGCAGCGUCAGAACUUUAAUUGGCUAAGCUGCUGUGUUACCCAAAGUCGAGAUCAGCUUGAGCGCAGCCAACAGUAAGCAGUAAAGUAACAAGCAAUGCAGAAUAUGCGCAGCAUACCUACAGCUCAGACUUGCAGUCAGUAUUCUCCAUUACCAGAUCGACCUUGAGCAGUUAUUUACAAACCAUGGUUUUGUUUUAAUACGGUUAGAUGCGUUUUUGAAAUGAUUUAAUAUUUUGGAUAAAGUUUUAAAAUGAGUUGUUUCAGUGUCCCUUUAUUUAAAGUAGGGAUUAUAUGAAAUGACAAGAUGAUUGCAGUUUGUUGGAUAAUAUUUUAAACCUGCAUUUCAUGGCUUGUUUUUGGACUAAAAGUGUAUUCCUUGAAAUAAAAAUAUUAUAUAUUUUUUUAACUAUUUUAAAAGUUAAACCAAAACAACGUUAUCAAGAUAUUUUUUCUAUGAAAUUCUUGUAUUUGUUUUUAUUUUUGUAAAUAUAUUUGUAUAACUGUAAAGUUCUGCAGUGCCGCCAUUGCUAGUCACAUGCAUCCGCAGUAUGUAAAAAGAGGGGGGCGAGUGCCCCACAAAAGUCAACAUCCUUUCAUUUCUAAGGUGACAGCAUCUACACGGAUUAAGGAUCUGUCUGCUCCCAGAAAUCUUUCUGUAGUCGCAUUUCUAGUAAAUUACAAUAAUUAUUUAAUUUUAACGAUCUGAAUUCAUUUGAAAAGUAUGGAAAGGAGACAGGUUAUUGUUGGUUUUAAUCAGCAUUUUAUAUUGCGUUUUCAGGAUUGACCACAUGUUUGGCAAUAAAAAGGGAUGAGGUGACACAAAUGAUAUCGAUAUCCAGAGAAAGCAAAGUACGUAUGAAGCGUCAAUCCAUUAAAAGAAAAAGUGCGGUAGUGAAUCCAAACUAAACAACCGGUGUAAACCGACAAAGAACGACAAUCCGCCUCCAGCCUCUAGUCUGGGGAACAGAAGGUUAAUAAUAUCUGUGUUCAGUGCUCUCUCGGGACAAAGGACAGAGUGUGUGCCUCAUAAAAAGGAGUAGAAGUCUGGAUGGUGAUCCACGAU